UACGUAGGAGGCGAGCGUUGUCCGGAAUCACUGGGUGUAAAGCGCGUGUAGGCGGCCUGUCAAGUCUGCUGUGAAAGCGCCUGGCUUAACCGGGCGAGGUCGGUGGAAACUGGCGGGCUGGAGGCCGGUAGAGGGGGGUGGAAUUCCCGGUGUAGUGGUGAAAUGCGUAGAGAUCGGGAGGAACACCAGUGGCGAAGGCGGCCCCCUGGGCCGCGCCUGACGCUGAGACGCGAAAGCGCGGGGAGCGAACGGG
This 253-nucleotide ribosomal RNA is filed under the name uncultured bacterium. RNAcentral's name for it is "partial 16S ribosomal RNA". It matches the Rfam family "Bacterial small subunit ribosomal RNA", at positions 524 to 776 of the family's 1533-position model. The record is from RNAcentral.